GACCACCUCACUUUCCCCCUCUCCCGCCCUCUCUCUCGAUUUCGGCGACACCCGAAACAUCCACCGCCAUGGCCGCCGUCGCCCUCGCACUCCCGGUCGCCCCCGAGCCCAGCUAGUCCGGCCAAGACCCCGCCAUGCUCGGCUACGUCGUCCGCGCCCAUCGGACCGAGCCGGGAGCCACCGCUGCGUCGCCCACGACGUCGUCUUCUUCCUCUGCCUCGCCGGCGAACCUCAUCGAUCUCGGCCGUCACUGCUGCUCCCGAACCCCGACGAGCCUUUCUUGCGCUCCAAGACCCCGCGACGAUGCUGAUGCCCAUGUGAUCGACUACGUCACCGACGACCCCUCCUUCUCGUCUGAGCAACCAGAUGUCGGAGCCCAGGAGCCAGAUGCCACCGUCGAUGCCUACUACUACGUGGAGACCGCCGACGACCAGGAGUAGUUAGGAGGCUCCCAGGCAGGAGGCCUUGCCUUUUCGAUCGAUGUUGCUUUUGUGCUAGCCUUCUUAAGGCAAACUUGUCUAACUUACGUCUGUACUCAGAUAUUGUUGCUUCCGCUGACUCUUGUGUAUUCGAGCCCUCAAGGCCCCUGGCUUGUAAUAUAAAGCUUGUAUUA
Molecule: ribosomal RNA, 613 nt
Filed under: Triticum aestivum (bread wheat)
Lineage: Eukaryota; Viridiplantae; Streptophyta; Magnoliopsida; Poales; Poaceae
Description: partial small subunit ribosomal RNA
Source: RNAcentral